Molecule: long non-coding RNA, 8038 nt
Organism: Dendronephthya gigantea
Lineage: Eukaryota; Metazoa; Cnidaria; Anthozoa; Malacalcyonacea; Nephtheidae
Exons: 2
Source: RefSeq, a predicted model, not a curated record
ACUAAUAGCUGUUUGUACCUAUUUAUGUUAAUUUCAAAGAAUGGAUUCCCACUUCCUGAGUUUUUUUCAGCGUUUUUAAAAAUCUAUCUAUUCCAAAUGAAAGACAGCUAUCUUAAAUGUAUAGAACCGCGCGAACAUUUUAGGAAAGUCUAAACUUACGCUAGAAAAAGACAAUUUAAUGCAAAAGAAGCACUAUUUUCACGGGAAUUUGUAUUAUGAAAUCACAGGGUGACGCGACACCUGAUACUUGUUCAUCUUUUGUCGGUGCAUUUUUUGCCAUGCUCAGGCACGGGAUCUUCGUGGCGAGAAAUGACACUUUGGUUUCCAUUACAGUAUGUCCAAACUCUCAGCUGCCCCUUUCCAUUUGCCUUUUUUCACUCUCAGAUGUCAUUGGCAUAUGUUCAGUCUCAUAUGUUCAGGUAUGAACUGGCUUGACAUUUACAUUUACAGGUGGUAGACCUUUCUCAACCAAUCCAACCAUCUGACGAACCAAAGCUUCCCUAAUUUCAGCGAGAGUAUUUGCCCAGCCUAUGUAAGUUAGAAUCAUUAGGAAUUUUUUUUUCUAUGAAUCUAGAAGAGAAGACAGGAAUUUACUACAGCAAUUUCUAUCAUGUGGUAGAAUAAUGUCUUUCACCAACGUUUACAUUUACGUGAAACCUUGUGAGCAGCAAUACUUUGAUCAGAUCGGUCAACCCCGUUCAUGUGUACAAAAUUAUUUCCGUGCAGAGAUAGAGCAGAAUAUUUUCUAUUCAGUUGUAGAAUUUUCAUGCCCCAAGUAUUUGUUUUGCCCAAGUUUUUAAAUUUUUAAUUCACCUGUCCCCGGGGACAAUUAUUUCAGGGUGGGUAUGAUUUAAACUGACCGUCUGUGGUUUGGGUAUUCGGUUUUUGUUAGUUUUCGAUUUGCUGCUGGUCAUUGACCACCUUUCCCAUAUUGCGUGCACUCCAUUACCUGUCAGUCUGCUAGAUAGGGCGCCAAGGCAAUCAAAUAAGAGUUUUAAUCAUAAUACAAAUUUGGCCAAUAUUUAUACGCAACGACACCGGAAUAAAAUAACUAGAGCUUAGCGCUUGCGCAACAGAUAUAGCGUGGUUACUGUAAUUUGCGCAUUAUUUGCUAAAACGCGCUCCCACCUUUGGGAUGGUUAACCAACUUACGGGAAAUUUCGGGAAAUGGGAAAUUUCGGGAAAACGUUCGGCAGUAACCAGCCAUGCCGAAUAUAAGCGCGUUACUUGUUUUCUUUGUACAAGUUGGUGGAAAGAUGGAGACGACGUCGAUUUUUGCACGCACGGGUUUGACUUUCCCUAAGAUAUGACGUAAGUAUGUUAUGGUUCCACAACGGAAUUUUUUCUUUGUUAGGUUUAUCGCAUAGUAUCGCAUAGCUAGUACCUUAAUGCAUAGUAUCCAGAUGUGUCUCCCGUGUAUCGCUCUAAAUUAUAACGUCGUCAAUGUAGGCUUCACAACCAUGGAUAUCAGUGACGAGACGGUGAACCGAUUAGGCGUUGGAAAGUUGCUGGAGCAUUUUUAUGCCAUAUGUCAUCACCUUGUGAUAUAAACCCUUGGACGUGACAAAAGCUGAUAUCUCUCUUGCACUUUCAAUUAGUGGAAUCUCCCCAAACCAUUUUAGCAGAUGGAAUUUUGAUUCAGUGUCUUGGAGCUUCUUAGUCAGGACAUAAUUUUGAUUCUAUAACUUUUUCUUCAAUAGAAUCGUUCAAUUUAUCUUCCACAACUUUCGUUUGCUUCAACCAACUCGGAGUUCAGCUCUGAGCACGGUUUUUCAAGUUCAGUCACUGUCCUUACGUUUUCGACAUCUUCCUCCAGAUCGUUAUACUACGUGUUUUCUGUAAUAGUUUAUUCUUCUUCCUUCCACUUUUCCCACGGCAUUCACGUAUUGCUAAGCAGGCAGCAUCAUUGAUUCGUUUCUCUAAGGCAGAACUUUCGACGAUUUGAACGGAAGCACUUGCUCUUUUGCGAUCAAAUUUACAUAUUUAUGAGCUUGAUCUUUCGUCUUAAGGUCGUUCCGGUAUAUUAAAAUUUCCUGGGGAAUUUCAAGAACGAAAUAGGCUUUAUAAGAUGAUAUUUGUUUCCCAUAGUUAACGUCGCUUGCUUUGCUAGAAAACUUUACUUUUGAAAUGAACUUUUUGGGAUUUUCUGCCAUGACAACACUGCCGCGCCAAAAAUCCCAAAUUCCCGCGUUUCCUCGUAUUUGAAUAAGUAAUGUCAAUGUUGUGACAUACCGCUGAUAAACAAUGAAAUUUGUGGGCUCAUUUCUGAGCAAGCUCGGUAUUUCAGCGGCGUUUAGCUUCUGGACAUGCGCCUAAGUAUCUCGAAACAUGUGAACUGAAAAGACAAGAUGACGAGCUUCAAAACAAUAGUUUUGAAAGCGAAGUCAUCCAAAAUCUCGCCGAAUUAUGGCUAUUUCAAGCAAAGCAAAGCUCUUUGCGAAUCUAAUCGAAGCCACCGAAACCUCAUCUUGCCAGAACAAGCUUUGCAUGUUGGAAUUUGUAUUAUAUAAUACCCUGAAAUACUUUCUUUUAGUGGGGAAGUAUGUGAGAAUUGAUGAUCAAUGGCGUCUAAUUCGCUACAAUCCGUAGAUAAGUUUGAAUCGCUCAAGGACAAGCUUUAUCGGCUUCUAGAAAUCACAAUAUUUUGCUUUUUGCUUUUGCUACAAGUCGAUUUACUAUGUUCAUACUUAUAACAAAAUGUAUUCUUUUGCACUAUUUCUAGUACUAUUUACUAUAAAUUUCCAAGCAUUUUAAGAGAACAAAUGCCUGUUGCGCAAUAUCGCAUGUCGCUUAUUUCUGGCAAUGCUUACACCGCACUUGGGGUUUUAUGUACGUUCAGCAAUUGUCGAAGUGCAAUGUGCAAAUUAUGUACAUUACAACGUUGUAUAAAUUAUUCACUUUUCCCGUUUGUAACAACUAACCAUACACCAAACUCUUCUGUCUCAACUUUGAAGACAUUUUCUUCCCGUGAUGAUCUGCUGUGCAUCAUAACUGAUUUCUUCAGCCGCUAUUACCGCUGUACGUUUGUUGCAAUGUUCCUGAAAGAUGACUUUUGUCCUGACAAAUUAUUUCGGAAAAGUGCUCAGUAAUUCGGCAUAAGCUGCGGUGGUGGAAAGAAAGUCGUCUUCCAAAAAUGUCCUCAUCAUCUGAAUUGGUACAGCCCGAUUAUUGUGUUGGUACGCUACCAAAAUGCCGUUAGGAAAACACAAGAACACAUAUAUUGGGCCGAAAUCCUUAAUACACUCAGCCAGAUGACCAUGUAAAUGCAUGUCCGGUGUGGCAAAAUCUUUUGAAUCGGCUCUCCGACUGCUUCAAUUAAUCUAUUCAAUAAUAUUGUUCGUCCACAUAACCACCAUUACUACAAAAAAACCAUCCAGCAAUCAAUCCAUUUGUGAAAGAGAUGUUUCGCAGUUCCUACCUAAAUCGUACACUGUCGUAAUAAGGAAGACAAAGUAAAUCCGUACAACGUGCUCCAAGUGUACUUUCAAGUUUCUGACGCGUACUAAAAGAUGUUGCUUUAAGCGUUUCAAAAGCGUUUUUGCGAUGACUGACGUCCUCGCGGUUUUGCCCAGAAUUUAUAUCAAAUCCUGAAAAAUCAGGUUUUUCUCCAAAUUUAGACACUGGAAACCUCUUCAAGCAUUUUGAACAUCCGCGCGUGUGUCAUUUAGCAUUGUGUGCCAUGAAACCACCAAAUUUCGUGCUGCUGGCACAUGCAUCACAAGCCAUGCAUAUACACUGUAAGAGCAACUCGAACAAAAGUAACUGUAAUUUUUUGCCAAAAGCGAUGUCCUUUUUAAAUGAGUAGAAGCUCGUCCACAGUGGGCUUCAGUAUUGAAUUCAUACUAUAAAAAUACAGGCAUGCAAAAUCCCCUCGCCUGAAGCGAUUACUGACAUAUAUUUCCAACAGCGAAAUUUUAUAAUACUCGUUUCAGCCGAAUGAUCGAAGUCGUAUAAGUAAAAUCCUAUAUUAAGUACAAUUAUAAACUCGACUCUCGAGCUAUCACAUUCAACUAUAAUCAUAAUUUUACUACGAAUAGUUUUAAAUACUACAAUUUUUAGCGAAAUUUCGAUUCAUUUUUAAACUCAGAUUCACCUUCAAAAAUAUUCACCUUUUGGUGAUAAAUCUAAAUAUUAAAUACUUGCAUGCUUUAAAAUACAAAAUCUACCCAUUUAGCUGUUCAAAAACACUCUAAAAAUCUUCAAAAUCGUAGAUUUUUGCAAUCCAUUUGAAUCAAAGCUUUUUCUAUGCGAAGGCAUAUUUUACAUUCUCUUUUAAUCAAUUUUACAAAUCAAUUUUUCGUAUAUAGUUCUGCUGAGGCGAACCAAAAUUAAAUAUAGCCAAUCGCAGGUUUGCAAGCAUUUGCUAUUUACCAUGCGGUUUUAACCUGCCUAAACUCACGCGUAUGCAUAACUUACAAAAACGCCCAACGUCCAUGGCAUAAUGGCGGACAACUUUGAUUUCGCAUUUUAAAAGCUCCGGGCGGAGUUUGUACCCUCGCCUGGUUUUAUAAUUUUAUGAUUUGGUUUUGGUUCAACCUUCGAUUAAACCAAGCAGCAAUACAUUCUCCCUCUCUUGCAUCUUUCUUCUCAUGGCAAGUUGGCUACAACACAAUAGACAGCUCCAACAGUACCUGCGGGUUGAACCAGUCAACAUUAAGGAUCAAUGCCAAAUUAUUUCGCUUCUUAAAAACGGUUUACCGGUUUCAUGAGCUUGAGACUCUCUUCAACAUGUAUAUCGGUCAUUUCCGUCGUUUCUUUGCCACUUUUAUUUCUCCAUUCGUUGCAUUUGUCUAAGAAACCGUCACUAUUAAUGAGGUUCUUUAAAGAUGAAAACAGACUCCGAAAAACAUACACCCUUUUUGUGUACCAAAAGACAUUGCCAGACUUCCCUCUGACCUUUUUUAUAAGUACAGUAGUUCUUGUCAAGACACGGUGCACGUUUCGCCUGCUGUACAUGAUUUGGCCAUAACACGUUUGAGCAUGCUCUACUCACCACGCGAUCGUUGGGCAAUUUUUUAGUACAUCGUUCCUAGCAAUAUAUCGCGAGCACUUGGGGCAUACAGCAUAAACUUUAAAAUCGUUGGAACAGAAGUUGAAUCGGUAACGGUUUUCUGACCAACCGUACUUAUACUUAGCCACUGCUUACUAACCACGCUUAACAUAUGCGCGCGUAAAUGCGUAAUGGUUUGCAUAAGUGCACGAAAAUUUGGUAAUGGUUUGCAUGAGUGCAGGAAAUUUUCAACCAGCGGCGAAUGACAUGAAAAUAUAUUUCCCUGUCGGCUUCAAAAUGUUUGGGUUUAAUUUAAUAUUAGUCAUCUACACAUAAUUUAAUACAUUUCAAUGAACUUAAUUUCACUGGAUGAAGUGGUGGUUUACCGUGCGUCCCAUCAGUGUUGGUUUCGCUCAGCUCACGGUCGGUGUAAAAGAAGGGUAGCAAUUUUUGUGCACAUUUACGUUCUUGAAUUUUUUUUUUAACGCCUCGCUAUUUUUCUUGACGUUUUUGCUCCGUGUCACAAAUUCGUUGUAUCUCCAAAUUUGUCACAACAAAGUUCAGAAGCUCCUCUGAAAUUUCCACAAGUAAUCUGAACCGAUCAACAAAUCAAUUUCCAACUUCUCUUUGGUUCGACAGACGUCAGAAAACCAUAAAUUUCGCAGGUUGCAGGAAGUUUUUCCUAACAACUUUAACGUGCUCGUUGCUUAUGCGUGAAAUCUCAGGCAUAACAUAAGCCUCCAUCGUCACAAUUCCUACCACCGCGGAACGGAAUCAAAUCAAUAAGAACUACAUCGCACAAUCCGGUCUAAGUUGUUUUCUGACCAACCGUAAUUCUACUUAGCCACUCCUUCCUAACCACGUUUAACUUAUGCGCGCGUGCUACAGCGUGCUAUUUGCGCGCGUAAUGGUUUGCAUGAGUGCACGAAAAUUUGGUAAUGAUUUGCAAAAUGUUUGGGUUUGAUUUAAUAUUAGUCAUCAACACAUAAUUUGAUACAUUUCAAUAAAUUUAAUUACACUGGAUGAAGUGGUGGUUUACCGUGCGUCCCAUCAGUGUUGGUUUCGCUGAGCUCACGGUCGAUGUAAAAGAAGCUAGGGUAGCAAUUUUAAUGCACAUUUGCGUGGUUCUUGAAUUUUUUCUAACGCCUCGCUAAUUUUUUUCACGUUUUUGAUGUGGACAGAUAACUUAUCUAAUAAUAAAAAAAUUCCAUUAAAAAUCAUUUUGUAGAUUCCAUUAGCAUGCAAUAUAACAACUAAACUGAUUUUAGCAGCGCUUAUCGAAACACUUAGCGCAGGUUUUGGUGCGCGAGGGUGUACAUUACAUGCGUACACUAGACAAGUGAGUUAUACACCGAUUACAACAGAUUCUUAAUCAUGCAUGAAAUAAAGCGCAAAUUAUUAGUCUUUUUGUCAGUGAAACAUUUCGCGCGACAAUCGCUAACUGAAACAACGUAUUAUCUAUGCACUUACUUUGGUUUGCAGACGCACCAACUUUAACUAUCAUACGCGUAGAUAUAGCUUUGAUCAGGUAGAACAUAGAGAGAAUUUUUUGUCUCGCAAUGCGAAUAGAACUGUAGCAUAAACCUUUGCUUUCUUACAAGUGUCCACAUUCGAGACUCAACGUAGAAUGAAUAACCUAAGCUAGGUAGGCUGUUUUUGUGUAGAAUGAACCGGAUUUCAAAAACAUAGAAACGCGGUGUGUUUUUUUGACGGACAUAGCGUGGCUAGGCAAGGCAACCGCAUUGCGCAUUUGCUAACCAAAUCUACGCAUUUGAUGUAAAUCUUUGCGCUGAAACGGAAAAUAACAACUUGUUUUUGCCAAAAGGUCUUUUACAAAGUAACAACUUGAACGACCUUCCGUUUCGAAACCAACUGUGAGACACCGCACCCACCCACUCCCCCCCCCCCACACUUACAGGGUUUACAAUAUGCAUGUAGUUUCGUUACAUGCAAAAGCCUCAGCAAAAACUUCACUGUCCCGACUGCAGACGCUAAAGUACACAUCCCGCUAAAUAAAGGUGAAUUUGGCGGACCACUAAUUUUCCGGCUGUGUUACAAUCAAUAAUUGCUAAAUUUGUCGAAACGGCGUGGUUUUUUUCCCUGUUUUUUCGCUGCAAUCUUCGCUGAUGUCCGUUUAUCAUUUUUGUACUUUUAUAUACGAGCUUGCAUUACCAGCUUUGUGACUAGAAAACUUAAUUUUUUCAAUAAAAAUGCUGCAUGCUAUGUUGAGAGAUUAACUUACCGAAUGCUUUUGCCCGUUUGUUGAUCAAUUUGUCAUUGUUUCAGUUGUUUUGGAACAUAAUAUUUAGGUACAGCCUUUUUAAGCAAUAUUCAAAAAUAUUUUGACCUCGAUAUUUCAAAAUUAGCAAUGUUAUAAUUAUCGCGUCAAUUAAGUAAAAUGUACAUCUUUUAUAGCUAUAUUUAUGCGCAUAAUAUAUACGUAUCACUUCUUUUAUUUUCAUGUUAAUUUUCUUUGAUCGAUAUUCACCAAUUGUGUCAUACAGUUUGUAAAAUGUAUGUUUUGUAGUGUGUGUUUUGCUUAAUUUUUUAUAUUUUCCUGCUCACCAUUACCUUUGUAAUGACAAUUGCCAUUAUGUAACUAUUGGUUGAGUUGUGAUUAUCAUUUUCAAAUGUGUUUGAGCCGUCAAGAAUUUCACAGAAGAAGCUCAAUCAAUGUUCACAUUCACUGAUGUAUGAAAGAAUCAAUCUAUCAUCUGGAUCGUGCAGAAGACGAUGAAUAUAUUCCCUUUGACUUUAAUCGUAAUUAUUAUGUCUUAAGUCACGCAUUUUAUAUAAUGACCGUAGCAAUACAAAUUCAUCCGAAGAACUCUCGUUUGAAUUAAAAAACCUGUUCCAAAAUUAGGAAAAGGUGUCGCUGUUAUUUACAAGCGUCAGAAAUAUAAAGACAGUCACAGAACUGUUCAUAAAAGAUGGUUGAAAGGAAAUAUGUAGUAAAAGUAGCUACCUUUUGUUAAUUUCAUUGAGCAUUGAAAUAAUAUAUUACAUGGAAUGGAUCAUUUCAGAAAUGUAUUAAAACCUACAUGAACG